GAUGAACGCUGGCGGCGUGCCUAAUACAUGCAAGUCGAGCGAACAGAUGAGGAGCUUGCUCCUCUGACGUUAGCGGCGGACGGGUGAGUAACACGUGGAUAACCUACCUAUAAGACUGGGAUAACUUCGGGAAACCGGAGCUAAUACCGGAUAAUAUAUUGAACCGCAUGGUUCAAUAGUGGAAGACGGUUUUGCUGUCACUUAUAGAUGGAUCCGCGCCGCAUUAGCUAGUUGGUAAGGUAACGGCUUACCAAGGCAACGAUGCGUAGCCGACCUGAGAGGGUGAUCGGCCACACUGGAACUGAGACACGGUCCAGGCUCCUACGGGAGGCAGCAGUAGGGAAUCUUCCGCAAUGGGCGAAAGCCUGACGGAGCAACGCCGCGUGAGUGAUGAAGGUCUUCGGAUCGUAAAACUCUGUUAUUAGGGAAGAACAAAUGUGUAAGUAACUAUGCACGUCUUGACGGUACCUAAUCAGAAAGCCACGGCUAACUACGUG
Molecule: ribosomal RNA, 497 nt
Filed under: uncultured bacterium
Lineage: Bacteria
Description: partial 16S ribosomal RNA
Rfam family: Bacterial small subunit ribosomal RNA
Source: RNAcentral